This 1197-nucleotide long non-coding RNA is filed under the name Sinocyclocheilus anshuiensis. RNAcentral's name for it is "lncRNA (ENSSANG00000013007.1)". Lineage: Eukaryota; Metazoa; Chordata; Actinopteri; Cypriniformes; Cyprinidae. The record is from RNAcentral.
ACACACACACUCUCUCUCUCACACACACACACACACACACACACACACACUCACGCUCACACUCACACAGACACACACACACACAAUCUCACACACGCACACGUUAACCAUCUCUGUUCCUGUGGUGUGUAGUUGAGUGUGGACUCUCAGCUGGAGGCUGUGAAUCAUGACGGUGGUUCUGCUGUGGUUCUGAAGGCUCAGAGCGGCUCGUAUCAGGGUCAGCCGGCGUCGAUGGAGUUGCUGGACUCCUCGGAACAACAGAUGAUCAACCAGAACCAGAGCCAGAGCUACACAGAUGGGCGGCACCCCGUGCCCAACAUCAUCCUGACCGGAGAUUCCUCAGGACUGUCUAAGGAGAUCACGAGCGCGCUGUCGUGUGUCCCGGGCUUCGAGAUGGACCCGUUCUCGUCUGACAACCCGCUGGCGCUGGGGGGUCUGGGCAUGCUGACAGACGGUGACCUGAUGCUGGCUGACCCCGCCGUGGAGGACUCCUUCCGCUCUGACCACCUCAAGUGACUCGAGAACACACGCUUGAACCCUGAGCUUCUGCCCUUUAACGCUGCGCUUCUCAGACGAUCAAAGCCGCACCGGCCACUUCCUGUUACAGAUGACCAAUCACAGCCACGUGCCUCCACCGAUCGCUGCUCAGGCGCUUCAGUCCCAGCAUGCACUGCACCACACCAGGUUAAUGCUGAACCCACUUGUGCGCUUAAAAGUCGCUGUUUCGUUCAGAUGUGACGAGUGAGACACUUCAUUUGAUCUGUUUGAUGUCUCAGCCAAUCACUUGAGUUUGGGGUGGGGCUAUCGGUCUGACUGACCAAUGACAGACAGCCGUGUUCAGAACAGCAUACUAUCAUACUGCAGUAUACAGCACACAUACUGUACUGCAUGCGUGCAAAACAAAAUGCAUUGUGCUUGACUUUCUCCUGACAAUGCAAAAUAAAUUUAGAUUUGUAUUUCCGUGCAAUGAUGCACACUAUCAGUUGAAACACUUAUUGUGGAAUAAUUGACCUAGAUUUUUAAUGUAAUUAUAUUUAUAUUUUUAAUAUAUGUUACUAUGAAAAAGUAAUUAAUCUUCAACAGUGUAAUUACUCUAAAAAAAAUAUAUAUAAUAAAAUUGCAUAAAUUAUUAAUGAACUGUACAAAGUAUUUUAAGGGGAGAAGGUUACAUUAAAAACAAACAUUUUAACAAUUAAA